Molecule: ribosomal RNA, 497 nt
Filed under: uncultured bacterium
Lineage: Bacteria
Description: partial 16S ribosomal RNA
Rfam family: Bacterial small subunit ribosomal RNA
Source: RNAcentral
GAUGAACGCUGGCGGCGUGCCUAAUACAUGCAAGUCGAGCGAACAGACGAGGAGCUUGCUCCCCUGACGUUAGCGGCGGACGGGUGAGUAACACGUGGAUAACCUACCUAUAAGACUGGGAUAACUUCGGGAAACCGGAGCUAAUACCGGAUAAUAUAUUGAACCGCAUGGUUCAAUAGUGAAAGACGGUUUUGCUGUCACUUAUAGAUGGAUCCGCGCCGCAUUAGCUAGUUGGUAAGGUAACGGCUUACCAAGGCAACGAUGCGUAGCCGACCUGAGAGGGUGAUCGGCCACACUGGAACUGAGACACGGUCCAGACUCCUACGGGAGGCAGCAGUAGGGAAUCUUCCGCAAUGGGCGAAAGCCGGACGGAGCAACGCCGCGUGAGUGAUGAAGGUCUUCGGAUCGUAAAACUCUGUUAUUAGGGAAGAACAAAUGUGUAAGUAACUAUGCACGUCUUGACGGUACCUAAUCAGAAAGCCACGGCUAACUACGUG